AUUAGAUCUCUUAAUGACAAAGAGCCUCGUAUAACUAUAGCGAUGCUAGAAGUUUUAUGAUCGGCUAUUACGCAAAAAGCAAAACACAACUAUGUAAUAAUACUAGACCCGCAUAGAAAAUUUAAGUAUAUCAUGUUAUAAAACUUACCGGAAACAGCCG
Molecule: long non-coding RNA, 160 nt
Organism: Polistes canadensis
Lineage: Eukaryota; Metazoa; Arthropoda; Insecta; Hymenoptera; Vespidae
Exons: 2
Source: RefSeq, a predicted model, not a curated record